AGCAGCCGCGGUAAUUCCAGCUCCAAUAGCGUAUAUUAAAGUUGUUGCAGUUAAAAAGCUCGUAGUUGAAUUUCGGGAUCAAUGUUUCGGUCAUGCCCUUGGUAUGUACUGAUAUUAUUGGUUUCUCACCUUCUAAAGAACCGUAAUGCCAUUAAUUUGGUGUCACGGGGAAUUAGGACUGUUACCUUGAAAAAAUUAGAGUGUUUAAAGCAGGCUCACGCUUGAAUACAUUAGCAUGGAAUAAUGAAAUAGGACAUCCGAUUCUAUUUUGUUGGUUUCUAGGAUCGAUGUAAUGACUAAUAGGGAUAGUUGGGGGCACUAGUAUUCAAUUGUCAGAGGUGAAAUUCUUGGAUUUAUUGAAGACUAACUACUGCGAAAGCAUUUGCCAAGGAUGUUUUCAUUAAUCAAGAACGAAAGUUAGGGGAUCGAAGACGAUCAGAUACCGUCGUAGUCUUAACCAUAAACUAUGCCGACUAGGGAUCGGAUGAUGUUAAUUUUUUAAUGACUCA
Molecule: ribosomal RNA, 509 nt
Filed under: uncultured glomeraceous AM fungus
Lineage: Eukaryota; Fungi; Glomeromycota; Glomeromycetes; Glomerales; Glomeraceae
Description: SSU rRNA
Rfam family: Eukaryotic small subunit ribosomal RNA
Source: RNAcentral